RNAcentral lists this ribosomal RNA (401 nucleotides) under uncultured bacterium. RNAcentral's name for it is "bacterial SSU rRNA". It matches the Rfam family "Bacterial small subunit ribosomal RNA", at positions 355 to 774 of the family's 1533-position model. The record is from RNAcentral.
UCGGGAAUUUUGGGCAAUGGGCGAAAGCCUGACCCAGCAACGCCGCGUGAGGGAUGAAGUAUUUCGGUAUGUAAACCUCGAAAGAAUGGGAAGAAUAAAUGACGGUACCAUUUAUAAGCUCCGGCUACUACGUGCCAGCAGCCGCGGUAAUACGUAGGGAGCAAGCGUUGUUCGGAUUUACUGGGCGUAAAGGGCGCGUAGGCGGCGCGGUAAGUCACUUGUGAAAUCUCUGAGCUUAACUCAGAACGGCCAAGUGAUACUGCUGUGCUAGAGUGCGGAAGAGGCAACCGGAAUUCUUGGUGUAGCGGUGAAAUGCGUAGAUAUCAAGAGGAACACCUGAGGCGAAGGCGGGUUGCUGGGCCGACACUGACGCUGAUGCGCGAAAGCCAGGGGAGCAAACG